GAUGAACACUAGCUACAGGCUUAACACAUGCAAGUCGAGGGGUAACGAGAGGAAAGCUUGCUUUCCUUGUCGACGACCGGCGCACGGGUGAGUAACGCGAAUCCAACCUGCCCCCAACUAGGGAAUAACCUUGCGAAAGUAAGACUAAUACCCUAUAAUUUCCUCAGAUGUCAUCUGACGAGGAAUAAAGAUUUAUCGGUUGUGGAUGGGGAUGCGUCUGAUUAGCUUGUUGGCGGGGUAACGGCCCACCAAGGCAACGAGCAGUAGGGGUUCUGAGAGGAAGGUCCCCCACAUUGGAACUGAGACACGGUCCAAACUCCUACGGGAGGCAGCAGUGAGGAAUAUUGGUCAAUGGGCGGAAGCCUGAACCAGCCAAGUAGCGUGCAGGAUGACGGCCCUAUGGGUUGUAAACUGCUUUUAUACAGGAAUAAAGUUAGCCACGUGUGGUUAUUUGUAGGUACUGUAUGAAUAAGGACCGGCUAAUUCCGUGCCAGCAGCCGCAGUAA
RNAcentral lists this ribosomal RNA (506 nucleotides) under uncultured bacterium. RNAcentral describes it as "partial 16S ribosomal RNA". It matches the Rfam family "Bacterial small subunit ribosomal RNA", at positions 28 to 523 of the family's 1533-position model. The record is from RNAcentral.